Molecule: small RNA, 3007 nt
Filed under: Pyricularia oryzae
Lineage: Eukaryota; Fungi; Ascomycota; Sordariomycetes; Magnaporthales; Pyriculariaceae
Description: Magnaporthe oryzae sRNA M_BR32_EuGene_00146691
Source: RNAcentral
AUUAAAAACCCCAUUUAUCCAAUUAAACGUUCAAUUAUUUUAACCCACUGUAUUUUAUUAUAAGAACAGGUUACCCUAAUAUUUUAAUCGUAACACCGUCCUUACCUAUUAUUCAACGAAUUACAAAAUAAGGGUAAAGAUUAAUACGUCCGGAAAAAUGGUGGCCGGAACGUUGCUGUAACAGAACCCAAAUAUUUAAAAAUAGCAUCCGAUCGCAUUUUUUUCCGAAAUUAUACAGCAGGCGGAAUUUAAUUACCCUAUUUACGAUAAAAAAUUGCUAACAAUCGUUAAAACGUUAAAAACCUAAAAAUUAAAACUAAUGGGUAUUAAAAAAAAAUUUGUGGCAAUUACUAAUUAUAAAACUUUGGAAUAUUUUUUUAUAAAACGGUUGUUUAAUUUCCGGUAAACGGCCUGGGCCGAUUUUUUUUCCCAAUAUAAUUUUAAAAUUAUUUACCGUCCUGGCAGCGAAAACGUGCUGGCAAAUAUUUUAACCCGCAAAAUAAAAAAUAUAUAAAAUUAAAAAAAACGUUAAAAAACAAAAUAUUAUAUGGUUAUUUUCCGUCCUGUCGAUAAUAUUGGCGACGACUUUUAUAUGGUUAACCCCUUUUUAUAUUGGUAAAUUUUUACCAAUAACGGUUUCGGAAUAUUAUUAAUAACAAUCGAACCAAUUGGCGCAAUUGGGCAAUUAUUAUUCGCUAAAAAAAUAUUUAAAACCAACAAAUAUUUACCAUUGUUAAAAUAAUACCGAAUUAAAACCCGUAACCCCGAAAAGAAAUAUUGGACGUUAUUAUAUAAUAAAUACGUAUUAUACCGAAAAAAAUUGGUAAUUUCAGGCGACGGGGAAUGGCCCGCUAAAAUAAUUUGUAAAAUUUAUGGAAUUAUUACUACGGCCCAUUAUAACCGCAAUAAAACCCGCCGUUUGGUGGUAUAGCAAUUUUGGUGACCAGAUAUAAACGAAAUAAUGCACCGCUAUAUUGCCAAUUGUUUUUGUCGAUUAACCAAAAUUCCGAAAAAUAAAACCUUUAGGUUUUUAUAAUUAUUACCCGUAUAGGAUCGAUAAUAAAAUACCAUCGUCGUAAAUUUUAAAUUAAUACCCAAAUCGAAAUCGGGAAACGAUAACCUGUUUGUAAUAAUUAAUACGUUAACGAAAUAAUUGUGGGCCGUUUUAUAUAUAAGGACGGCUACCGUAAAAAAUACAACCAUAAUAUAUUACGAAAAUCCUUACCGCGUUUAUAAUUUACCUACGAAAAUCGUUUCCGAAAAAAACCCGCAAUUUAUAUUAAAUUUAACCGACGAAAUGUCCAAGAUUUUGCAAAUUAAAUGGAAAUUUUCGACGGUCGGACAUUUCCAAAUAGCAGGGUAAAUAAAAAUUAUAAACGCCUAUAUCGAUUAAAAAUUGCGUUUUUAUAUUAAUUAUUUCCAAAACAAUUGGGACAAACAUAUAUCCGCAAUCGAUUUAAUGCAGGUAACGUUAUUUUAUAAUUUUUUCGGAGGAUUUUCAUUUUUCGAAAUUAAAAACGGUUACCCGGCCCAUAUAUAUUUCGAAUGGACGCAAAAAACCGAAUUAAAAAAAUUAUUUAUUUAUAAACGAUUUAUAAAAACCGAAAUUUAAAUAAUUACCAAAAAAUUCGAAAAUUACGUGGAAAUAAUACGCACCCAUUUCCAAAUAACGUAAUAACGAAUAUAUAACCAAACCAAUAAAUACCGCCGGAAAUCCGAUUUCGGAAUAAAAAACGCCGUUUAUAUUAUUAGAAAAAAAUUGGGUAACGGACCGUUUUAACGAUAAAUUAAAUUAUCCAUUAACCAAAUAUAAUUAUAUAAUUAAAAAAAAACGGGGGUAUUUUUACUAUUUAAAAUUAUUAAAUUUUUGGAAAAAAAACCGCGUAUUUUAUACCGACCGUUUUCGGUUAAACCCACGUAAUUUAUUGGACGGAUAAACCGUAAAAAAACCCGAAAGCGAAAUAAUUAACGCGUUAAAAAAUACCAACGAAAAAAAAUGGGAAAUCGAACGGGUAAUUUUUUCGCAAAUAUUACAAAAUAUAUUUUAAUACCAAAUCCAAUAAAAAAAUUGGGACCCCGACCCGGAAUUUUAUAACGCGGAAAAAUUUAAAAACGCGGUUAUAUAAUUGCGAUAAUAUUAUAACGUUUACCCCGAUAAAGCCGGCCUUUCCAUACGUUUAAAAACCUGGAAAAAGGCAAUUUUCGAAAAUCGGUUCGACCCGCCCGACAAAUAUAAUAACGCCCCGGUUACGGGGAAUAAUAUAACCCGCAAAUUACAACGUCGCCGGUAAAAAUAAAAUAAAAUACGGCAAAAGUUUUAACCGUUCGCGGGGCGGACGGGGGGGGGGUAAUAUUACAAAAUAGCGUACCUGGGCGAUUAUUAAUCGUAAUUAGUUUUAUUUUACGUAAUAAAGCGCCAGGGCGAAUUUGUUAUUUGUUCGUUGAAACGCGUGUACGCGAUUGGUAUUGCGUGCUUUUCUUUUUCUUUAACAUUUAGUUUUAAAUUUCGAAUAAAAUCGCCCCUAUAUUGCAGCCUUGUUUCUUUGGGAUCGCUUUCGUAACACUUACAUAUAUUGUAUAUGGUUAUAUAAUAAGUUAAAUACCCUGUAAAAAUAUAAUAUAGCCCUGCUUGUGCAAUAUAGGAGGUAUUAAAUGUGGCCUAAUAUUUUACGUGUAUUUACAGGGUAAGCUCGAAUAUUUAUCCAAAUUCAAAUUCAUUUAGGGGGUCGGAUGCAAGUUAUAAAUUUAAAAAGAUUCGUUAAAAGACAAAAUAAAGGGGCCGAAUUAUAAAUGGGCCGGGAAUGUGGGAUUUAUGUUAAAGCCCCAUUAUAAGCAAGGCCACAAAAAGCGUUUUUCUUAACCGGUAAUAGUAUACGGAUUCGCAAUUAAUGUUGACGAAAGGUCGGCAAAACGAUUUCGUAACGCUAAAUAUCAUAUUAGUAACUUAUUAAGGGGGAUAUGUUUAAAUACCUGUGGAAAGCUAACUAAUGUAUUUUUACAAUCAUAU